Schistosoma mattheei is the source of this 45-nucleotide non-coding RNA. The record is from Rfam. Lineage: Eukaryota; Metazoa; Platyhelminthes; Trematoda; Strigeidida; Schistosomatidae.
AUCCAGCUGAUGAAUCCCAAAUGGGGCGAAACGCGUGUUCUGGAU